UCCUCAGAUGUCAAGACUAUAUUCUGAA
RNAcentral lists this non-coding RNA (28 nucleotides) under Rattus norvegicus (Norway rat). The record is from RNAcentral. Lineage: Eukaryota; Metazoa; Chordata; Mammalia; Rodentia; Muridae.